This 42-nucleotide small RNA is filed under the name Arabidopsis thaliana (thale cress). RNAcentral describes it as "ATSL222030". The record is from RNAcentral. Lineage: Eukaryota; Viridiplantae; Streptophyta; Magnoliopsida; Brassicales; Brassicaceae.
AUUUGUUAAUGAAUUUAGUUUAGUAAAUUUUUGGUUUUUUUU